AUGUUGAUGGGUACGACAAGUUGAAGCCAUUUGGCUUCGCUAUACAUGGUGCAAUGUGUGGAUUUUCAAGACGAAUACUAUGGCUUAAAGUUGCAAGAACAAACAAUGACUCUUUUGUUGUAGCAUCAUAUUUCUUGAAAUACCUGGAGGAAAUAAAUAGUGCUCCAAGGUGUGUGAGACUUGAUGCUGGAACUGAGAAUAUAUACAUUGAGGACAUUCAAAAAUCCUUCCGUUGGUACGAUAAUGAUGACAUGUGUGGAGAAAAAAGUGUAAUCAAAGGAAG
Long non-coding RNA from Saccostrea echinata, 283 nucleotides. RefSeq lists it as uncharacterized. The transcript has 3 exons. Lineage: Eukaryota; Metazoa; Mollusca; Bivalvia; Ostreida; Ostreidae. The record is from RefSeq and is a predicted model, not a curated record.